GUAGGUGGGCAAGCGUUGUCCGGAAUUAUUGGGCGUAAAGCGCGCGCAGGGCGGUCCUUUAAGUCUGAUGUGAAAGCCCACGGCUCAACCGUGGAGGGUCAUUGGAAACUGGGGGACUUGAGUACAGAAGAGGAAAGCGGAAUUCCAAGUGUAGCGGUGAAAUGCGUAGAGAUUUGGAGGAACACCAGUGGCGAAGGCGGCUUUCUGGUCUGUAACUGACGCUGAGGCGCGAAAGCGUGGGGAGCAAACAGGAUUAGAUACCCUGGUAGUCCACGCCGUAAACGAUGAGUGCUAAGUGUUAGGGGGUUUCCGCCCCUUAGUGCCGCAGCUAACGCAUUAAGCACUCCGCCUGGGGAGUACGGCCGCAAAGGCUG
This 374-nucleotide ribosomal RNA is filed under the name uncultured organism. RNAcentral's name for it is "partial 16S ribosomal RNA". It matches the Rfam family "Bacterial small subunit ribosomal RNA", at positions 526 to 896 of the family's 1533-position model. The record is from RNAcentral.